This 253-nucleotide ribosomal RNA is filed under the name uncultured bacterium. RNAcentral describes it as "partial 16S ribosomal RNA". It matches the Rfam family "Bacterial small subunit ribosomal RNA", at positions 524 to 776 of the family's 1533-position model. The record is from RNAcentral.
UACGUAGGGCGCGAGCGUUGUCCGGAAUCAUUGGGCGUAAAGAGCUCGUAGGCGGCCUGUCGCGUCUGCUGUGAAAUCCCGGGGCUUAACCCCGGGCGUGCAGUGGAUACGGGCUGGCUGGAGGCAGGCAGGGGAGAACGGAAUUCCCGGUGUAGCGGUGAAAUGCGCAGAUAUCAGGAGGAACACCGGUGGCGAAGGCGGGUCUCUGGGCAGUAACUGACGCUGAGGAGCGAAAGCGUGGGGAGCGAACAGG